AUUUAACAGAAAAAGUAGUUCAAUAUGCAGUAAUGUUAUGUUGUAAUGACAGUAUUUACGAAUUUAGCACCAAAAUAUCACGAUAUAUUGAAAACAUUGACUACAAAAAUGGCUUGGAUUAUCCAGAAGCUUGGAUAAGCGAGGCUUGGAUAAGUGAGACUCUACUGUAUGUAUGUAUGUAUGUGUGUGUAUAUAUAUAUAUACAUAUAUAUAAAGGUAAAGGUUUCCCCUGACCUUAAGUCCAGUCGUGUCUGACUUUGGGGCUUGGUGCUCAUCUCCAUUUCUAAGCUGAAGAGCCAGCGUUGUCCGUAGACCUAAACCCUACUUUAGAAACGAGAAUUGAAACAUUUUUUUCAUCGAUCGGACAUGCCUAGUAGACAGCUUUGUCCACAUUUCUCCAGGGAAGGCCAUAGGGUUGAGUCAGAGAAAGAAAGACACACCGGCCAAAAUCCUAUUCUUCAUCCCCAUUAAACCAAUGGGAUUUGCUGGUGUGUUGCCUCAGCAUUCAACAACUGGCCAAGGUCUUGUAUUGUGAGAUUUAAUAUUUUACAUGUCUCUCGUUCAUCUCCCACAAGACUAAGAAGGAAAGGUAUCACAUCCCUGGUCUUCCCAGAGUUGGAAGAGACCACAAGUACCAUCUAGUUCAACCCGACCUUCCUAUGCAGGAAUUCACAAUCGGCUUGUUCCAGAGACUCAAUAAGGGCAGCAAGUCCGGCACAAUUUCUGCUGUUCCAUCAGCUUCUGUGCUGUUCCAUCAGCUUCAUUUUUCAUCUGCCUUUUUCAAAAGCACCAUUUUGACAGCAAGCCUCCUCUGCUCAAGCCUUGUCGGCCCCUGAAGGAAGGAUUUUGAGUGGUAGGACCCAAGGGUGCUUGGAGACAUCUUGGACUUCAAGGCAUUUGCAUGCUUAAAACUUCAUGGACUGGAGUUUGGGGGUGUGCAUCUCUUUGAGAUGUGGGCAAAGAAUGAAUGAAGGUUGUUCCCUUCCCUGUUCUGUGAGAUAUACUCACACCCUCCUUCUCCACUGGUCUGUCUGGACCAAGCAAUGGAAAGCAGCUGCUCUUAUUCCUCCAAAUGUACAGGGAAGCUUAAUUGGAACACAGAGCACCCUUUAUUUAUUUAUUUAUUUAUUUAUUUACAGUAUUUAUAUUCCGCCCUUCUCACCCCGAAAGGGACUCAGGGCGGAUCACAUUAUACAGACAUAGGGCAAACAUUCAAUGCCCAUAAACACAUCAAACAGAGACUGAGACAGACAGACGCAGAGGCAAUUUAACCUUCUCCUGAGGGGGAUGUUCUAUUCUGGCCACAGGGGGGAGCAGCUGCUUCAUCAUCCAUCAUCUUAUUCAUGAUUUUAACAUUUUAUCUUGUAUGUGGUUUUUAUGACUUGUUUUUAUGGUUUGAUUAUUGGUUUUAUUGGUUAAUUGUCUUGUUUUUAUUGUUCUAUUCAGGCUUGGCCCCAUGUAAGCCGCCCCGAGUCCCUUCGGGGAGAUGGGGCGGGGUAUAAGAAUAAAAUAAUAAUAAUAAUAAAAUAAUAAUAAUAAUAAUUAUUAUUAUUAUCCACUCUGAUGGCACUUCCUCAUUCCAAGUCAUAAAUUAGUUAAACUUGCCUUCCACUUUUAUAAGUGAUACCUUAUUUCCUACUUGAUAGAUGCAACUAUCUUACGUGUUGCUAGGUCAGCAACGAGCAGGGGCUAUUUUUAAUUUUUAAUUUAUGGGUGCUCACCCCGCCACGGGCUGGCCUCGAACUCAUGACCUCAUGGUCAGAGUGAUUUAUUGCAGCAGCUCAACAGCCUGCACCACAGCCCGGCCCCACACCCUUUUCCCUCCUUCUCUCAUUCACUCUGCAGCUCAACCACUUGACAGCUCCCAUGAUAUUUUAUCUACCUUUCACAAGAAACCACCCAGGAAAUAAAAGCAAGACCAUACCUAGUUGGGUGAUACACCAUCACUCUUUGGCAGACCUUGUCAGACUACAGCACCCACCUUUCCAUAGCAUUUCCAGAGCCGGCCCUAGGUAAUUUUGAAGUGUAAGCAAGCAGUAUUUCUGCCCCCCUCCCAAACCAGUCACUCACAGCUUCUCUCCUCGUCCAGCCCCGGCCUCCUUCCUCGCUGCAAGGAAGGGCUUUGGGGCUUUGGCCAGGAGGGAAGCGGCAUUUCCUUCUCCAAAGCACCGGGCUCCUUGCAAGAAGGAAAGGGGCCACUGCUUUGGGGAGGAAAGAAGCGGAUCUUAUGGGUUUAUGGUUCCCAUCCCCUUGAUCAGGUCAUCUGGAGUCUGGGCGCCUGAAUGUGCCUCAACUGCGCCCCCCAGACGAUGGCGCCUUCAGCAACUGCCUACUUCGCCUAACGGUUGAACCACCCCUGAUUGAGCCAUGGCUGUUAAAGUGGUGUCAAAGUGCAUUCACUGGAUUGUAAGAUGCAUGUGUUAAAUAGCAUUUACAUUACAAGAUAUAGAGUUUAAAAAAACAAAUCUAUAACUGCAGUAUAGAUUUUACUGUGUUCUCUGGGGGCCUGAUUUUUGGAAACAAUCAGAGCAUGACUCUUACUCUCAUCCUCAUAUCCUGCACAAGCCAUGGCUCUUAAUGUGCAGGCAGCAUGAGCCUGUGUCUCUCCUCCUCUGAAUGUGCCUGCCCUUCGUGAGCAUUUCCUCUUCCCUUGCCAAGGUGUGUGGAACGUGCGAUGCCCUCUCCAGAAGCCGGUGUGCCUGCUGCCUCUCUUUGAGCGUUGGCGUUUGCCAUUGUUGCAUGGCGAGAUAUUUUUAUUCCUCACCCCACUAUGAUUAUUAAGAAAAGCCAACAGUUACUGCAUUUAGCUGUAAACACAGCUUGCGGUGUCAUAAUUCUGUGCAAAAGUAGAGAGCUGAAAGGAAGGGGGCAGAGAGGAUGUGCAAGGGAAUGGGGGGCAAAGAGGUGGGCCCUUUUUGUCAGUGCGGAAAAAUUGGGGAGCCCACACGACGAAGGGCAAAGGGAGAAGGCAGCUGGCAAAGUGCCCACCUCUCCUGCUGCUUGCCUCUGUUCCCUCGCUUUUGUAACAACAUCUGGUGCUCGGCAGCAGCGUGGCAGGGGGUCAUUGCUCCAUCUCCUGGAUGAGACUCCAGAAGAAGUGGAGGAGCAAAUGUGGAAGUAACUCAUCCUGGGCAUCAACUCACUGGGUGGGCUCCAUUCCAGGCGAGGAUGGCUCACUCAGCUCCAGGGGGUUAAGGCUCCCCGACCGAGCAACGUUUCCUCCCGUUUGGGCAGUUUGGAAAACGGCACAGAAAACAACUUCAGUGCUCUGAAAGAAAGGCAAAGCAUCCGCAAUCAUAGAGCAACGGAGAGAGAUGAUACAGUUGGUCCUCUGCAUUGCAGAUUCCGCAUCCAUGGAUUCAACUAACCACAGUUUGAAAACCAGAAUCCAAAAAGUACAGUAACUUUUGAUUUUGCCAUUUUAUGUAAGGCGUACCACUGUAUAUAAUGAAACUUCAAAAUCUAUGGAUUUUGGUACUUCCCUGUUUCCCCGAAAAUAAGACAUCCCCAGAAAAUAAGACCUAGUAGAGGUUUUGCUGAAUUGCUAAAUAUAAGGCCUCCCCCGAAAGUAAGACCUUGCAAAGUUUGUGUUUGGAAUUAUGCCUGCCAAACAGAACCCCAGAGCAUUCAGGAUUGGUAAAUGUACGUACCAUAGAUUGCUGUACAUGAAAAUAAUGGUAAUAACAAGAAAUUCUUGAUAGAAUUAAGUUUGUCUGGUUAUGCUGGUUUGUGAUGAUAUCUACUGUACAGUAUAUAAUAAAUGUUCAUUUUUUUGUUCAACAAUAAAUGUGAAUUCUUCUUCAUGGAAAAAUACGACAUCCCCUGAAAAUAAGACCUAGCGCAUCUUUGGGAGCAAAAAUUAAUAUAUGACACUGUCUUAUUUUCGGGGAAACACGGUAGAGCAACGGAGAGAUAUGAUACAGUUGGUCCUCUGCAUUGCAGAUUCCGCAUCCAUGGAUUCAACUAACCACAGUUUGAAAACCAGAAUCCAAAAAGUACAGUAACUUUUGAUUUUGCCAUUUUAUGUAAGGCGUACCACUGUAUAUAAUGAAACUUCAAAAUCUAUGGAUUUUGGUACUAGUCACAAGGAAUUCAGGAACCCAGUCCCAGCAGAUACCAUAGUCCUGUUGCAAUUGUUAAUGUGGGAUUUGUGUAUUAGUAGUGUUUAAAUGAAAUUUGUGUCUAGCAUGUAUUGCAUCAUCCAGGAAGUGUGUAAAGAGUUAAUGUUACUGUUACUGUUAAUGUUACUAAGAGUUACUGUUUUUUUUUUUUGAUUUCUUGAUGUAAUGUCUAUUAUCAUCUAUUGUAUUGCUUUUAAUUGUGUUAUGAUAUGUUGUUUUUAUAUGUUAUAUUGUAUUGCUCUGGGCGUGGCCCCAUGUUAGCCGCCCCGAGUCCCCGUUGGGGAGAUGGUGGCGGGGUAUAAAUAAAGUUUUAUUAUUAUUA
Anolis carolinensis (green anole) is the source of this 4443-nucleotide long non-coding RNA. RefSeq lists it as uncharacterized. NCBI's taxonomy places the organism in Eukaryota, Metazoa, Chordata, Lepidosauria, Squamata, Anolidae. The record is from RefSeq and is a predicted model, not a curated record. The transcript has 2 exons.